UACGUAGGGUGCGAGCGUUGUCCGGAAUUAUUGGGCGUAAAGAGCUCGUAGGCGGUUUGUCGCGUCUGCUGUGAAAACCCGAGGCUCAACCUCGGGCCUGCAGUGGGUACGGGCAGACUAGAGUGAUGUAGGGGAGACUGGAAUUCCUGGUGUAGCGGUGAAAUGCGCAGAUAUCAGGAGGAACACCGAUGGCGAAGGCAGGUCUCUGGGCAGUAACUGACGCUGAGGAGCGAAAGCGUGGGGAGCGAACAGG
This 253-nucleotide ribosomal RNA is filed under the name uncultured bacterium. RNAcentral's name for it is "partial 16S ribosomal RNA". It matches the Rfam family "Bacterial small subunit ribosomal RNA", at positions 524 to 776 of the family's 1533-position model. The record is from RNAcentral.